UACGUAGGGUGCAAGCGUUAAUCGGAAUUACUGGGCGUAAAGCGUGCGCAGGCGGUUAUGUAAGACAGUUGUGAAAUCCCCGGGCUCAACCUGGGAACUGCAUCUGUGACUGCAUCGCUGGAGUGCGGCAGAGGGGGAUGGAAUUCCGCGUGUAGCAGUGAAAUGCGUAGAUAUGCGGAGGAACACCGAUGGCGAAGGCAAUCCCCUGGGCCUGCACUGACGCUCAUGCACGAAAGCGUGGGGAGCAAACAGG
Molecule: ribosomal RNA, 253 nt
Filed under: uncultured bacterium
Lineage: Bacteria
Description: partial 16S ribosomal RNA
Rfam family: Bacterial small subunit ribosomal RNA
Source: RNAcentral